GACGAACGCUGGCGGCGUGCUUAACACAUGCAAGUCGAGCGGUAAGGCCCUUCGGGUACGACGAGCGGCGAACGGGUGAGUAACACGUGGGUGACCUGCCUCUAGCUCUGGGAUAAGCCUGGGAAACUGGGUCUAAUACCGGAUAUGACUCCACGGCGCAUGUUGUGGGGUGGAAAGCCUUGUGUGGCUAGAGAUGGGCCCGCGGCCUAUCAGCUUGUUGGUGGGGUGAUGGCCACCAAGGCGACGACGGGUAGCCGGCCUGAGAGGGCGACCGGCCACACUGGGACUGAGACACGGCCCAGACUCCUACGGGAGGCAGCAGUGGGGAAUCUUGCGCAAUGGGCGAAAGCCUGACGCAGCGACGCCGCGUGAGGGAUGACGG
RNAcentral lists this ribosomal RNA (382 nucleotides) under uncultured bacterium. RNAcentral describes it as "bacterial SSU rRNA". It matches the Rfam family "Bacterial small subunit ribosomal RNA", at positions 28 to 414 of the family's 1533-position model. The record is from RNAcentral.